Molecule: unclassified non-coding RNA, 342 nt
Filed under: soil metagenome
Description: partial contains 5.8S ribosomal RNA, internal transcribed spacer 2, and large subunit ribosomal RNA
Rfam family: 5.8S ribosomal RNA (bases 1-120)
Source: RNAcentral
GAUGAAGAACGUAGCGAAAUGCGAUGAGUAAUGUGAAUUGCAGAAUUCAGUGAAUCAUCGAAUCUUUGAACGCACAUUGCGCCCGCCAGCACUCUGGCGGGCAUGCCUGUUCGAGCGUCAUUUCAACCAUCAAGCCCCCAGGGGCUUGUGCUGGGGCCCUGCGGCUGCCCGCAGGCCCUGAAAACCAGUGGCGGGCUCGCUAGUCACACCGAGCGCAGUAGCACAUCUCGCUCAGGGCGUGCGGCGGGCUCCUGCCGUGAAACCCCCCACUGUAACCCCAAAGGUUGACCUCGGAUCAGGUAGGAAUACCCGCUGAACUUAAGCAUAUCAAUAAGCGGAGGA